This is a non-coding RNA of Picea glauca (white spruce), 84 nucleotides long. NCBI's taxonomy places the organism in Eukaryota, Viridiplantae, Streptophyta, Pinopsida, Pinales, Pinaceae. The record is from Rfam.
GUUACGAUGGCCGAGUGGUCUAAGGUGCCAGACUCAGGUUUUGGUCCUCGACUGAGGGCGUGGGUUCAAAUCCCACUUCUGACA